CCUACGGGGGGCAGCAGUGGGGAAUAUUGGGCAAUGGGCGCAAGCCUGACCCAGCAACGCCGCGUGAAGGAAGAAGGCUCUCGGGAUGUAAACUUCUUUUCUCAGGGACGAAGCAAGUGACGGUACUUGAGGAAUAAGCCACGGCUAACUACGUGCCAGCAGCCGCGGUAAUACGUAGGUGGCAAGCGUUAUCCGGAUUUACUGGGUGUACAGGGCGUGUAGGCGGGACGGCAAGUCAGAUGUGAAAACCACGGGCUCAACCUGUGGCCUGCAUUUGAAACUGUAGUUCUUGAGUACUGGAGAGGCAGACGGAAUUCCUGGUGUAGCGGUGAAAUGCGUAGAUAUUAGGAGGAACACCAGUGGCGAAGGCGGUCUGCUGGACAGCAACUGACGCUGAGGCGCGAAAGCGUGGGGAGCAAACAGGAUUAGAUACCCCAGUAGUC
This 443-nucleotide ribosomal RNA is filed under the name uncultured bacterium. RNAcentral's name for it is "partial 16S ribosomal RNA". It matches the Rfam family "Bacterial small subunit ribosomal RNA", at positions 338 to 795 of the family's 1533-position model. The record is from RNAcentral.